RNAcentral lists this long non-coding RNA (10424 nucleotides) under Homo sapiens (human). RNAcentral's name for it is "non-protein coding lnc-TLL1-4:3". Lineage: Eukaryota; Metazoa; Chordata; Mammalia; Primates; Hominidae. The record is from RNAcentral.
CUCUUCCCGUGUGGAACCCAGGGUUCAAAUGGCUGAGCGGGAAGCGCUCUAGUAGGGACUCUGGCAACUCUGUUUUCUCCUUCUCUUCCUUUUCACCCAAUAAUACCCUGUCUUACUCAUUAUUUCAAAUUGUCUAAGAGCCUGAAUUUUCGUGGCUCUAGGGCAAAGAACCCCGUCUUUAACUGAACUAAGGAAAAGUCCUACAACAUUUUUGGCACGCAACGUGGGAGCUCGAGAAGCGAAAAUGUUUUACUAAGCCAGACCCCCUGUCGGCCCUCCCGCGCACUCCUUUCCCCCAGCAAACUGUCACCAGUCCAUGUUAUAUCACUGCCCAUAUGCUGGACACUGGAGGUCACAAAAUCUCCUAAAACUUUUGGCAACAAGAAACCUAGAGUUUGUUUGUAACAUUCGGCAAUUUGUUUACCUUACAAUUAUGGUACACUUCACUGCCUUGAUGAUCGAUGUAUUGCUAAUGAGAAUGAAAGAAGAAAAGGAAAAUGAGCCACUUUAAGAGAACUAAUCUAUGUCUCCUCAUUUAAGGAAUACAUCUACUGAAGCAGUCUACUCCUGCCACCAAAGUAUAAAAGCUGGACAAACAACAUAACGGAAAUCAUUUGAAGGCAUUUGAAAGUGACCACCAUUCAUAGUUCUUUAAGGGUUAUAAACCCUGAGAGAUAAAAGGAAUCAAUAGAACCCAUACUUAUGGCAACAUUUCUCCUUUAGAGUAUUUUCAGCUUACUGUGUGGAAUAGAUUCAGAGAAGAAAGCCAAAGUCUCCCUGGGCUGAGGAAACAUUGGAUUUUCAGUACAGUCACAGCAGCUGUGAUUUCAGGGGACAAAAAUCUCAAGGAAUGUAUAUAACUGAACCCCAAAAUCUGUAUUCCAUUUUUUUUUAGACUUUUUCAACUCUGAAGCUGUACAGGGAAAGCUCUAAGAAGCCCAACCAAAAGCAGCAGUUUAGACUGUGUGAAAGCACUGAACACGUUUCAAUAGUUAACUGAAUGAGUAGGCUUGGCAAAUAUUCUAUGCUCUCAGCUAUAUCCUAGAAGUAUGGGACUAUAUCCUAGAAGUAUAUAGGGUAUAUAGAAGUAUCCUAGAAGUAUAUAUGGGACUAUAUCCUUAGAAGUAUGAUCCAUACCCUUGAAGUAAGAGAAAAACUGAAAAAAACAACAAGAACCAAUUUUGAACUGAAAAUAUUUCAGAAAAAAAUUGCAUCUGCACUUAACAUGUACAGAUUAUUUUUCUGGUCAUUAUUCCAUAAACAAUACAGUGUAACAACUAUUACAUAGCAUGCACAUUUUAUUAGGUAUAAUAGGUAAUCUAUAUACAUAUAUGCCCUGGAAUCUACUUUUUCUAAUACUAAUAUAGCCACUCAAGCUACCUUAAGAUUAGUUUUAGAAUAGUACAUUCUAAUAGUACAUUCUUUUUCAUCCUUUUUUUUUUUUAACAUAUAGUUGUCCCUCCAGUAUCCGUGGAUUAUUGGUUUUAGGUCAUAUAUAUUAUAUAUAUAUACAUAUAUAUAUAAAUAAUAUGUAUUUUAUAGAUAUAUAAUAUAUAUGUGUAUUGUCAGGGAUAAUAUGAGUCAUUUCAUAAUGAUAAAUCAAUCAAUCUUUAGUUGCCUGAUAGAAGAGCUCCAAAAUAAAUGAAGCAAAAACUAAUAGAACUGCAAGAAAAUAUAGACAAAUCAACAAGUAUAUUCAAAGAGCUUAGCACCACUCUUAAUAGCUGAUAGAACAAGUAGACACAAAUUAGUAAUUAUGCAGAAGACAUGAACAAUAUAGUCCACCAACUCGAUCUAAAUAACAUUAAUCGAACACUCCACUGAGGAGAGUAGAAAUUCUUUUAAGGUACACACACAAAGAAAUCAGCAAGAUGAAACAUCUUCUGGGACAAACAAAAAUAAAACUCAUCCAUUUUUUGAGAGUCCAAAGCAGGAGGUUUUCUUGAGGCCAGAGGUUUGAGAACAGCUUGAGCAACAUUGCAAGACCUUGUCUCUACAAAAAAAUUAAAAGAAAAAAAUUUUCCAGGUGUGGUGGUGUGUGCCUAUAGUCCUAGCUACAUGGGAAGCUCAAUCAGGGGUGGUUUGAGCCCAGGAGUUAAAGAUUGCAGUGAGCUGUUUUCAUGCCACAGCAUUCAAGCCUGAAUGACAGAGCAAGAAUCUGUCUUUAAAAACAAAACAAAACAAAAUACAAAAAAAAUUCAAUGAAUUCAAAUGCAUAUCAGUCCUCCAAUGCUUUGUUACUCUUCUUAUCACAAUGGAACUAAAUUGGAAAUAAAAAAUGGAAUGUUCUCUUGAAAAAAAACCUUAAAAUAUUUGUAAACUAUAGAACAGAAUUCCAAAUAAGCCAUUGGUUAAAAAUUAAAUCAACAGAUUAAAAAAAAAUGAAAAAAAAGAAGAAAAAAUAUCUUAUUAUUUUCUGAUAUCGAAGAGUUCUUUCAGCAUUAUAGAAUUGAAAGUAAUAAAUUUAGGCCGAGUAUGUCAAUUUGAUCACUUUUUACAACACUGUAUUUUGUACAUAUCAUUUUGUAACCAAGUUACUCAAUAAAGAAAUGAGCAAGGUAGUUGUGUUAAUCACAGUGUGUGAACUCCAAAAGUGUCCAAUAAAAAUGUCUUAAUUUUUAUUUGCAAAUGCUUUUUCUCCUGUAAGUAGUGGAGACUAUUUUACCUCCUCUUAAGUCUAAGCUGAUUUAGUGACUUGUUUGCCCAAUAGAAGGGGAAAGAAUCAGCACAAUGCCAUUUCCAGAUCAAGCUUUAAGAAAUCUAUCAGUUACCCUAUUACACUCUCAGAGCCCUGAGCCACCAUGCUCUGAUGAAGUCCAACCUAAAGCCGUGUAAAGAUGCAGUGUAGAAGGGAAUCAAGGCAGCUUGGUCAAAAACCCCAGCCAAACACUAGCUCAGUACAGAUGCAAGUGACCCAGGUGAAAUGAGACCAGCUGAACAACUGUCCAGUCAACCCACUGUAUUAUAAGAAAUAAGUUGUUAAUUCUUUAAAUUUUGGACUGUUUUGAUAUACAACAACAGUAAAUGAUACACUAUAAUUUCAAUUAUAGUUCAGGGAAACAAACUAUGGAAAAUACAUGAUUGAGUGAGAAAUUGUUUUAUGGACAUCUUAUUUUAAUGUUACAACAAAAUUCUAGAAAAUAAUAACAUGCUCAAUAUAUACAACAAUACAGACAUUAGUAUGACAUGUAUUGUUUAUUGUAUGUAAUGUAGAUUGAUGAUUAUGUUUUAUCAUUCUAAUCAAGUCACUUAUCUGUAAAAUUGAAAACUCCAUUAUUUUCAUAAUGUUAUAUUGAUAAUUUUUUUUUUUUUUUUUGGAAAACUCAUAAAGUCUUCUUUGUUGAUUGAUAUUGUUUGGCUGUGUCCCCACCCAAAUCUCAUCCUGAACUCCCAUGUGCUGUGGGAGGGACCUGGUGGGAGGUAAUUGAAUCAUGGAGAUGGGUCUUUCUUAUGCUGUUCUUGUGAUGGUGAAUAAGUCUCAUGAAAUCUGAUGGUUUUAAAAAUGAGAGUUUCCUGCACAAGCCCACUCUCUUUACCUGCUGCUAUCCAUGUAAGAAGUGAAAUGCUUCUCCUUGCCUACUGCCAUGAUUAUGAGGCCUCCCCAGCCACAUGGAUCUGUAAGUCCAUUAGACCUCUUUCUUUUGUAAAUUGCCCAGUCUUGGGUAUGUCUUUAUCAGCAGCAUGAAAACAGACUAAUACAGUAAAUGAGUACCAGUAGAGUAGGGAGCUGCUGAAGAGAUAUCUGAAAAUGUGGAAGCAACUUUGAAACUGGGUAACAGGCAGGGGUUGGAACAGUUUGGAGGGCUCAGAAAAAGAAAGGAAAAUGUGGGAAAGUUUGGAACUUCCUAGAGACUUGUUUAAUGGCUUUGCUCAAAAUGCUGAUAGUGAUAUGGACAACGAAAUCCAGGUUGAGGUGGUCUCAGAUGGAGAUGAGGUACUUGUUGGGAACUGGAGCAAAGAUGACUCUUGUUAUGUUUUAGCAAAGAGACUGGCGCAGUAUUUUGCCCCUGCCCUAGAGAUUUGUGGAACUUUGAACUUGAGAGAGAAGAUUUAGGGUAUGUGCUGGAAGAAAUUUCUAAGCAGCAAAGCAUUCAAGAGGUGACUUGGGUACUGUUAAAAGCAUUCAGUUUUAUACGGGAAGUGGAGUACAAACAUUUGGAAAAUUUGCAGCCUGACAAUGCGAUAAAAAAGUAAAUCCCAUUUUCUGAGGAGAAAUUCAAGCUGGCUGCAGAAAUUUGCAUAAGCAAUGAUAAGCCAAAUGUUAAUCCCCAAAAGAAGUGGGGGAAAUGUCUCCAGGGCAUGUCACAGGCCUUCACAGCGGCCCCUCCCAUCACAGGCCCAGAGUUCUAGGAGAAAAAAGUGGUUUUGUGGGCUGGGUCCAGGGUCCAUGUGCUAUGUGUAGCCUAGAGACUUGGUGCCUUGCAUCCCGGCCACUCCAGCCAUGGCUGAAAUGGGCCAACAUAGCACUUAAGCCAUGGCUUCAGAGGGUGCAAGCCCCAAGCCUUGGCAGCUUCUACGUGGGUGCACAGAAGUCAAAAAUUGAGGUUUGGGAACUUCUGCCUAGAUUAUAGAAGAUAUAUGGAAAUGCCUGGAUGCCCAGGCAGAAGUUUGCUGUAGGGGCAGGGUCCUCAUGGAGAAUCUCUGCUAGGGAAGUGCAGAGGGGAAAUGUGGGGUUGGAGCCCCCAAACAGAAUCACUAUUGGGGCACUGACUAGUGGAACUGUGAGAAGAGGACCACCAUCCUCCAGACCCCAGAAUGAUAGAUCCACCAACAGCUUGCACCGUGCACCUGAAAAAGCCACAGACACUCAAAGCCCACUCAUGAAAGCAGCCAGGAGGGAGGCUGGACCCUGCAAAGCCAAAGAGUCAGAGCGGCCCAAGACCAUGGGAAUCCACCUCUUGCAUCAGCGUGACCUGGAUGUGAGACAUGGAGUCAAAAAAUAUCAUUUUGGAACUUUAAGAUUUGACUGUCCUGCUAGAUUUCAGACUUGCAUGGGUCUUGUAGCCCCUUUGUUUUGGCCAGUUUCUCCCAUUUGGAAUUACUGUGUUUACCCAGUUCCUGUACCCUCAUAGUAUCUAGGAAGUAACUAGUUUGCUUUUGAUUUUACAGGUUCAUAGGCAUAAUGGACUUUCCUUGUCUCAGAUGAGACUUUGGACUGUGGACUUUUGAGUUAAUGCUGAAAUGAGUUAAGACUUUAGGGGACUGUUGGAAAGGCAUGAUUGGUUUUGAAAUGUAAGGACAUGAGAUUUGGGAGGGUCCAGGGGAGGAAUGAUAUGGUUUGGCUGUGUCCCCACCUAAAUCUCACCCUGAAUUCUCUCAUGUUGUGGGAGGGACCUGGUGGGAGGUAAUUGAAUCAUGGGAGGGAUUCUUUCCCAUGCUGUUCUCAUGAUAGUGAAUAAGUCUCCUGGGAUCUGAAGGUUUUAAAAACAAGAGUUUCCUGUACAAGCUCUCUCUCUUUGCCUGCUGCCAUCCAUGUAAGACAUGACUUGCUCCUCCUUGCUUUCCACCAUGAUUGUGAGGCCUCCCCAGCCAUGUGGAGCUGUAAGUCCAUUAAACCUUUUUCUUUUGUAAAUUGCCCAGUCUCGGGUAUGUCUUUAUCAGCAGUGUGAAAACAGACUAAUACAUUUGUUAAAUUUCAUUUCCCAUAAGCAUAGAUAAUUUUAGAAACUUACUUGAGUAUGGCAUUUGUGUUAGUAGUCAACAAAGAUUAAACCUAGACAAUCAUUAGACGCAUGGAUACCUAGGAGAGAAACUCUGCUGAACAAAGAAGAUAAACAAUAGACACACAAACAUGGUCAAUCAUAAUCUGAUUCCAGCAUACUUUUUCAUGUUUUUACAAACUUAUUGUUUGGUUUAAAUUUAUGCACACAGAGAAAUUAUUGCAAAUAUUUGAAUAAAUCAUGCUGCCUCAACCUGUAUUUCUUAAUAUAUGUACUGCUGCUUUCCUUUACAAGGCUUACUUUUACAGGCAUAGCUGAAAUACCCCUAGUUCAAAAAAGCCUUCAACUCUCCUUUCUCAAAAACAGAAUUGGUAAUUUUCCCCAUUUUGUCACAGCUGUAAAUUUUACAUGUUUUAAUCCCUUACAUGUUAUGAAAAUAUUUUGCAUUUCACAAUCUGUUAUUGGAGUAAGUUUUUUGAGGGUAGGAUCCAUGAUAUGUUUAUUAAUGCCUAUUACUAGGGCCAGAGUAUAUUAGGUAACCAGUAGAAAUAUGAUGAAUGAAUUAAAUGAUAGCAGAAAACCCAUACAGCUAAAUAAUUAACUACUGAAAUGAAAUACAUUCAAGUAAUACAUAUAAUUUUGGUAGAAGUUGGUAAAAAUAUUCAAAUGUGAAGAGUAGUUGGUUUUUACCAUGUUUUUAGCAAAAUAAGAAAAGGGUUCCCAAUAUAGCACUAAGCGUUAAUGUGUACACAAAAUCAGAUGAUACUCAAAUAUAGCUUUGUAACAUAUAUGUCUAAUACAAACAAUAGAAUAAGCUGUAGGGAAACCAAUUUUGGGACAUCCUAAUAUGUUCAGGUAAGGAGAUGAUUACAUGAAGAUCCUGAGCAGACACCACCCUUGCCCUCAGUCCUGUGUAAAUUUGUGAGGCAGCACUUCUACUGCCUCAUGGUUUGUGGCAUUCCAGGCACCUGAAGUGAAUCAUUCAGAUGGAGGUAGUGGUGUAAGGCAGUUUUGCAGUAUGAAGCUACAAUAGAAGACCCAUCAAUCAAAUGAAUGGAACCCUGACUCAACAGAGAAGUAAAUUCUUGGUAACCACGGGGAUGUAAACCAAAAAUAAAAUUCUAAGCACCUCCCCCCAACCAUCUGAAUGGACUUAUUGCUCACCCAGGACUCUUAAAAUUUAACCUGAGAGACUGUUUCAGGCCAUGAUGGGAAGUGGGGGUCAGAUAUGCCUCAUUAUACUUCUCUGGCAUUAACAUCGACACAGACUUCAAGUCUGAUAAGAAACAUUUUACAACCUAUUCUCUCUGAAGCCUGCUACCUUAGGGCUUCCUGUGCAAAUAAGAACUUUGGUCUCUACAAUCCUGUAUCUUAACCCAGAGAUUCCAUUCUGUUGAUCCCAGGUCUUUAAAUAAACUCAACCAAUUGUCAACCAGAAAGUUUUAAAAUCUACCCAUAAGCUGGAAGCCCCCACUUUCUGGACCAAACCAAUGUAUUUCUUAAGUGUAUUUGAUUGAUGCCUCGUGCCUCCCUAACAUGUAUAAAACCAAGCUGCACCCAGACUACCUUGGCCACAUGUUCUCAGGACCUCCUAAUGGCUGCGUCAGAGGUCAUGGUCACUCAUAUUUGGCUCAGAAUAAGUCUCUUCGAAUAUUUUACAGAGUUUGACUCUUUUCAUUGACAGAGAAAAGGCAAUAAAAUAAAGAUUCUGUUAUAAGGCAAUAAAAUAAAGAUUCUGUUAUCCUUUUUAUCUUGGCAUUUAUUCUCAUUAACACACUCCUAACUAAUGGUCCCUGUCAUAGGAGAACAAGGUCAGAUUGAAAACAGUAUGCAAGAGGUGAACAAAGAGUUUUUAGAUUAGUCUAUGAGGAGACUAUAAAACCAGUAGAAAGAGACAGAAGACAAGAUGAAACUUUUUAAGACUAUCCAUAUAAAGUCAUGAUAGAUCCUUGGGAAAAACCAUGAGCUCAUGUUCACUGACUUUGUAAGAGGCUCUAAUGGCCAUUGUUUAAACUCAUUUAAGCCAUGCCAGAUGACAGCUUUAUCCAAAAAUGAUGGAUUUAUGAAGUUCAUUUGUGUGUGAGACUAAAUAUCUGUUUUUCUCAAAGCAUAAUUUCUAAGUGUUAAAUGAAUUCUCCAUAGAACUCACAAGAGAUGUUUGACCUCAACUGGAUGCCAUUACAGGUUUAGUAAAAUCAUUAAUGAGUAAAAGAUUAAGCGAUCACAGUAUUAGCUAAAUACUUAGCUAACUCAGCAAUGACAUUUACCAAGCUCAUUUUCUUAUUUUAAGAAGAUUACAAAAAAAUGUAAACAUUAAACUAUUCUUCACUAAGACAGCUAAUGGUUCAUUGGAGCUGCAAUGGUUUCCAAUAAAGAUAAGAGGAAAAUAAGCCUUUUUUUCAGUCAUUUUACUGUGAUAAACUAUAUCUAAGAAACUAAUAUUGAUAAUAAAAGGAAUAAUACAUUAUUUUGUGUACUGGAGAGGUAGAAAGGAACCUCAUAUACAAAGGGGAAAUAUUAAUAGGUAAGAUCUUUUUUAUGAGAAGUGAGUUUUUGCAACUUUAUUUUACCUUUUUCCAGAAAAAAGAUAGAAAUCGUAAUUAAUAUCUAAAGUUUUGUAUUUAUUCUUCUGAACUUGAAUUUUAUUUAAUGUACAGAAUAAGUAAUUUCUACAAAGACCAAAAUGUUGGUGUGUUGUUGAAGGCAUGUCCUGCAUUUAAUUUUGCUCUGUAGUCCACCUUGGCCAAAUGGAGCUAAAGUACUGACAGCUCUUAGUCACGUUUAUUCUUAGUGAACUAUUCUAUUCUCAGUGAACUAGCCCCAGUCUCUAGGAUUGUCCCUCUCAUGCCCCUUUACUCUGCUCUUUCUUUCUUCAACUAAAUUCUUCUGCCUAAAGCAUGUUGGAGCUGGGAUUUCAGAAACAAUGAAUGUUUAAGUAUUAGCAUGCAGGGUAUUUAUAAUAUGAAUUAUAAUAUAUCUAUUCACACUAUGUGUUCUUUCAGAAAUAAUUAAUAGUACCUAAAAGAUAAAUUUAUCUUGAAUUUAAUCAGCUUCUUUAUCAAUUCAUAGUAGAUGACAACACAUAAAUGUGUAAGAGAUGAACAAGGUAUUGCAGAAGGUGGAAGAAUAGCGUUUGAUACAAGAAAGAGAAUAUCUUUGCAUAUAUUAUUUUAAUAGGUAGUAUGAUAUAGAUUAUUUCAUACACUGAUCAACACCUUCCCUGAUGCAUCUAUAUUAAUCUACAUGCAUGGUUUACUUAUGGAUAUGUAAAGGCAGUAAUGAAACGGGUUUGGUCCAGGAAGAGCUAAGGAAGCAGUGCACUUUGGGAGUUGUAGUACUUCAUUCAGUGUUUCUGGCUGUAGAAAAAUGUCGUUGAUAUCUGGGAAUAAACCUCUUUCUCAUAAGAAAAUAAUCAAGGACUGUUACUUUCAAUCAAUCAUCCAGUUAAAAUCUGAAAUGAUAAUAAUAAACAAAAAACCUCUAAAAUUGGUCUGACACAAUUUUGAAUUUAAGGGAUAAAAGAUUUCUGGAACAUAGGGGAAGAAAAUAGAAGGUUUCCUACAAAACAAGGAAAGUCAUUCUUUACACAGGAACACUGAAUACUAAAAUUCUAGAACAAUGACAGAUAUUUUUAGGGAAAAAUGUUGUGAUUCAAUAUAACAUACUCUUUAUGAUAUUGUAUUUCAUAUGUUUAUGAAACAGAAGGACUUGCUUUCGUAUAUAAUAACUCAGAUAUACACACAUCUCUAUAAUAUGUAAAAUGGAAUUUAGUCAAUGGAAUUUGAGAGAGAAAUCAAGUAAAUAAUUCAUGAUUAGGGAUGUUAUUAUAAAAGUAGAAGCAGUGAAUAUUGAAAUUGAAUAACAAAAACUUCACUCUAAAUAAAUGUUAUGAAUAUGGAUACAAAUAUGAUUACAAAUAAAAAUAUAAGUAUGCAUAAAGAGUUAUAAAAUACUUCUCAGUAAUCACUGAAGUAUCCAAAUCAUUCCAUUAUGAAUAUUGUCAUUGCUCCUAAGUAUGCUAUCGUGUAUGGGUUAUUUUCUUCCAUGAGGCAUUUGUAUUUGAUGUCUGCAGGCUCUACAUACCGGGGAACACUUUGCAAUAAAUAUCUAUCCAUUUGAUGUUUUGGAUACUACCCAGGUAGGUCCCAAAUAUAUAUAAGGCCACAACGUUACAGAAAGUUUUUAUCCUUUUUCAGGUGAGAUAUAAUUUUUCCCACCACCUAGUGCCUUGCUGGCUCUUCUGCUAACUUUCCCAUGUGAUCUCUCCAAGCAAACACUGAACUUUUCCCUCUAUUCCCACAUACUUCACAGACAUUAAAACACAAGCUCGAAGUCAGCAAAGAUUGGCAUGGGCCUUCAGGGACUCACAGGCUUUUGAGUUUUUUACCUCUAUGGAUUUCUGCCUUCAUUCAUAUAUUUGGCAUAUAGUAGUUUUCUUUACAUUCUUUUUAGCUCAGAAAUACAUUGAAAAAUAUACUUUUUAUGAAGUUUCCCUUAUGCAGAAUAAAUAAGUUCUGGAGAUUUAAUGUAAAGCAUGGUGACUAUAGUUUAGAACAUUGUAUUGUAUACUUGUAAUUUGCUGAAAAAGAUCUUACAUAUUCUCACCCUACACACAAAAUAUGGUAACUCUGUAAAGUGAUGUCUAUAAUAAUUAACUUGAUUGUGGUACAUUUGACAAUAUAGACAUAUGUCAAAACAUCAUGUCAUGUACCUUAAAUAUAUACAAUUUAUAUUUGCCAAUUGUACCUCAAUAAAGCUGGAAAG